RNAcentral lists this long non-coding RNA (238 nucleotides) under Setaria italica (foxtail millet). RNAcentral describes it as "long non-coding RNA (SITA_LNC002758)". Lineage: Eukaryota; Viridiplantae; Streptophyta; Magnoliopsida; Poales; Poaceae. The record is from RNAcentral.
GAAGAGGACACGACCGAAACGGCGGGCUGUGCGCGCCGGGGAAGUUGCUCUAGUAGUUGGAACCACACUCAUUGAGUUAUUGGUAUAGGAGCAGGGAGCGCGGAAGAGGACACGACCGAAACGUCUUAGGCAAUGAUUAGCAUCAUAAGUUUUCUUUUUAAAAGUUCCAACAAACAGCAAACAAAAUCGUAUCAAGGCACCAAUUCUUUAGACAGAAUAAGCAAAAGGGAAAGCACUA